RNAcentral lists this unclassified non-coding RNA (419 nucleotides) under fungal sp. Its description in RNAcentral is "partial internal transcribed spacer region". The stretch from base 1 to 46 matches the Rfam family "Eukaryotic small subunit ribosomal RNA", at positions 1786 to 1831 of the family's 1831-position model. The record is from RNAcentral. Lineage: Eukaryota; Fungi.
AAGUCGUAACAAGGUUUCCGUAGGUGAACCUGCGGAAGGAUCAUUAUCAUCCUUAAAUAUAUAUUUUUAUUUUUUCACUAAAGUAAAAAUAUAUAUACCAUAAACCAAUCGUGAACCGUUUUUUUGCCUCCAAUGAGGUAAACUGGGGAAGAAGAAAGAGUCUCAAGAAGUAUACUUUUUCUUUUCUUUAAAAAAAAAGUGUGCUAAUUGAUUUCCUUUUUUUUUCUUUUUUUUUUCCUUAUUGGUUGUAUUUUCAUUUUUUUAUUUACCCUUUGAACAACUCAUUUCAUACAAAAUAUGAACUGAAUUAAUUUUCCGAUUUUUCUUUUUGUUUAAAAAAAAAAUUUGGAAAAGGAUAAAUUAAUAUCUAAUGAAAAAAUAAAGAGAAACAACUCUUAGCAACGGAUAUCUUGGUUCUC